RNAcentral lists this ribosomal RNA (497 nucleotides) under uncultured bacterium. Its description in RNAcentral is "partial 16S ribosomal RNA". It matches the Rfam family "Bacterial small subunit ribosomal RNA", at positions 28 to 507 of the family's 1533-position model. The record is from RNAcentral.
GACGAACGCUGGCGGCGUGCCUAAUACAUGCAAGUAGAACGCUGAAGAGAGGAGCUUGCUCUUCUUGGAUGAGUUGCGAACGGGUGAGUAACGCGUAGGUAACCUGCCUUGUAGCGGGGGAUAACUAUUGGAAACGAUAGCUAAUACCGCAUAACAAUGGAUGACACAUGUCAUUUAUUUGAAAGGGGCAAUUGUUCCACUACAAGAUGGACCUGCGUUGUAUUAGCUAGUAGGUGAGGUAAUGGCUCACCUAGGCGACGAUACAUAGCCGACCUGGGAGGGUGAUCGGCCACACUGGGACUGAGACACGACCCAGACUCCUACGGGAGGCAGCAGUAGGGAAUCUUCGGCAAUGGGGGCAACCCUGACCGAGCAACGCCGCGUGAGUGAAGAAGGUUUUCGGAUCGUAAAGCUCUGUUGUAAGUCAAGAACGGGUGUGAGAGUGGAAAGUUCACACUGUGACGGUAGCUUACCAGAAAGGGACGGCUAACUACGUG